CUCUACUCUGCUGGAGGAAAUGAAAGGAAAAGUCAGUUACCCAUGUAACAGUGAUCUGAGAAUCUUUACUUGGGGCAAACACUGAAAUAACAGGGUACCUUUUUCUUCUUUACCAGCUCCACAUAGUGACUGCUAAGAAAGAUGAUCUACAUUCCGAAGGACUGGAUACCGGGUCAGCCUCCUCCCUACAUAUUAGUUAUAUUUAGAGUGACCACAGAAUUUAUUUGGAAUCUUUUGAGAGUAAAGAGUAUAUUACUAAUGAUUUUGCCAGAAUCAGGAAUAAACAGAUUCUGCCCAGAGCAACCAAGAAUGCAUGGUUACCCUAGCAAUACCUGUGCCCU
Molecule: long non-coding RNA, 341 nt
Organism: Pan paniscus (pygmy chimpanzee)
Lineage: Eukaryota; Metazoa; Chordata; Mammalia; Primates; Hominidae
Source: Ensembl